This 540-nucleotide ribosomal RNA is filed under the name uncultured Geobacteraceae bacterium. RNAcentral describes it as "bacterial SSU rRNA". It matches the Rfam family "Bacterial small subunit ribosomal RNA", at positions 9 to 526 of the family's 1533-position model. Lineage: Bacteria; Pseudomonadati; Thermodesulfobacteriota; Desulfuromonadia; Geobacterales; Geobacteraceae. The record is from RNAcentral.
GAGUUUGAUCCUGGCUCAGAACGAACGCUGGCGGCGUGCCUAACACAUGCAAGUCGAACGUGAUCCAGAGCUUGCUCUGGUGAAAGUGGCGCACGGGUGAGUAACGCGUGGAUAACCUACCCUGGUAUCCGGGAUAACMUUCCGAAAGGGGUGCUAAUACCGGAUAAGCCCACGGGCUCUUUGGAGCUUGCGGGAAAAGGUGGCCUCUAUUUAUAAGCUACUGUAUCAGGAUGGGUCCGCGUACCAUUAGCUAGUUGGCGGUGUAACGGACCACCAAGGCGACGAUGGUUAGCUGGUCUGAGAGGAUGAUCAGCCACACUGGAACUGAGACACGGUCCAGACUCCUACGGGAGGCAGCAGUGGGGAAUUUUGCGCAAUGGGGGAAACCCUGACGCAGCAACGCCGCGUGAGUGAUGAAGGCCUUUGGGUCGUAAAGCUCUGUCAGAGGGGAAGAAAUGAUAUAGUGCUAAUACCACUUUAUCUUGACGGUACCCUCAAAGGAAGCACCGGCUAACUCCGUGCCAGCAGCCGCGGUAAUAC